This 256-nucleotide ribosomal RNA is filed under the name uncultured bacterium. RNAcentral describes it as "partial 16S ribosomal RNA". It matches the Rfam family "Bacterial small subunit ribosomal RNA", at positions 524 to 776 of the family's 1533-position model. The record is from RNAcentral.
CACGUAGGGUGCGAGCGUUGUCCGGAAUUAUUGGGCGUAAAGAGCUCGUAGGCGGUGUGUCACGUCGGCCUGAAAACCUGCAGCUUAACUGUGGGCGUGCGGUCGAUACGGGCAUCACUGGAGUUCGGCAGGGGAGACUGGAAUUCCUGGUGUAGCGGUGAAAUGCGCAGAUAUCAGGAGGAACACCGAUGGCGAAGGCAGGUCUCUGGGCAUUUAACUGACGCUGAGGAGCGAAAAGCAUGGGGGAGCGAACAGG